RNAcentral lists this ribosomal RNA (255 nucleotides) under uncultured bacterium. RNAcentral's name for it is "partial 16S ribosomal RNA". It matches the Rfam family "Bacterial small subunit ribosomal RNA", at positions 524 to 776 of the family's 1533-position model. The record is from RNAcentral.
CACGGGGGGAGCAAGCGUUGUUCGGAAUCACUGGGCGUAAAGGGCGCGUAGGCGGUCAGCACAAGUCAGUUGUGAAAACUCCGGGCUCAACUCGGAGACGCCACUCGAUACUGCCAUGACUCGAGUCCGGUAGGGGAGUGCGGAAUUCCUGGUGUAGCGGUGAAAUGCGCAGAUAUCAGGAGGAACACCGGUGGCGAAGGCGGCACUCUGGGCCGGUACUGACGCUGAGGAGCGAAAGCGUGGGGAGCGAACAGG